Molecule: small RNA, 29 nt
Filed under: Bombyx mori (domestic silkworm)
Lineage: Eukaryota; Metazoa; Arthropoda; Insecta; Lepidoptera; Bombycidae
Description: ovarian small RNA-8608
Source: RNAcentral
UGCUACACAUGAAAUUUUGCGGAUGCCUA